This 458-nucleotide ribosomal RNA is filed under the name uncultured bacterium. Its description in RNAcentral is "bacterial SSU rRNA". It matches the Rfam family "Bacterial small subunit ribosomal RNA", at positions 340 to 786 of the family's 1533-position model. The record is from RNAcentral.
UACGGAAGGCAGCAGUGGGGAAUAUUGCACAAUGGGCGAAAGCCUGAUGCAGCUAUGCCGCGUGUAUGAAGAAGGCCUUAGGGUUGUAAAGUACUUUCAUCGGGGAGGAAAAAACAAAACUAAUAAUUUUAUUUCUUGACGUUACCCGAAAAAGAAGCACCGGCUAACUCCGUGCCAGCAGCCGCGGUAAUACGGAGGGUGCUAGCGUUAAUCAGAAUUACUGGGCGUAAAGAGCACGUAGGUGGUUUUUUUAAGUCAGAUGUGAAAUCCCUGGGCUUAACCUAGGAACUGCAUUUUGAAACUGAAAUACUAGAGUAUCGUAGAGGGAGGUAGAAUUCUAGGUGUAGCGGUGAAAUGCGUAGAUAUCUGGAGGAAUACCUGUGGCGAAAGCGGCCUCCUAAACGAAUACUGACACUGAGGUGCGAAAGCGUGGGGAGCGAAACAGGGAUUAGGAUACC